This 75-nucleotide transfer RNA is filed under the name Cordylochernes scorpioides. RNAcentral describes it as "tRNA-Thr". The record is from RNAcentral. Lineage: Eukaryota; Metazoa; Arthropoda; Arachnida; Pseudoscorpiones; Chernetidae.
UGUCCAGGGAUGGGAAUCGAACCCACAGUGUUCCGCUUACCGGGCAGAUGCCAUGUCCACUAGGCUACCCAGGAC